GAUGAACGCUGGCGGCGUGCCUAAUACAUGCAAGUCGAGCGAACAGAUGAGGAGCUUGCUCCUCUGACGUUAGCGGCGGACGGGUGAGUAACACGUGGAUAACCUACCUAUAAGACUGGGAUAACUUCGGGAAACCGGAGCUAAUACCGGAUAAUAUAUUGAACCGCAUGGUUCAAUAGUGAAAGACGGUUUUGCUGUCACUUAUAGAUGGAUCCGCGCCGCAUUAGCUAGUUGGUAAGGUAACGGCUUACCAAGGCAACGAUGCGUAGCCGACCUGAGAGGGUGAUCGGCCACACUGGAACUGAGACACGGUCCAGACUCCUACGGGAGGCAGCAGUAGGGAAUCUUCCGCAAGGGGCGAAAGCCUGACGGAGCAACGCCGAGUGAGUGAUGAAGGUCUUCGGAUCGUAAAACUCUGUUAUUAGGGAAGAACAAAUGUGUAAGUAACUAUGCACGUCUUGACGGUACCUAAUCAGAAAGCCACGGCUAACUACGUG
Molecule: ribosomal RNA, 497 nt
Filed under: uncultured bacterium
Lineage: Bacteria
Description: partial 16S ribosomal RNA
Rfam family: Bacterial small subunit ribosomal RNA
Source: RNAcentral